UAAUACCGGAUAGGACGAAAGUUUAAAGGUGCUCUUGGCACCGCUGAUGGAUGAGCCUGCGGCGCAUUAGCUAGUUGGUAGGGUAAAGGCCUACCAAGGCGACGAUGCGUAGCCGACCUGAGAGGGUGAACGGCCACACUGGGACUGAGACACGGCCCAGACUCCUACGGGAGGCAGCAGUAGGGAAUCUUCGGCAAUGGGCGAAAGCCUGACCGAGCAACGCCGCGUGAAUGAUGAAGGCCUUCGGGUUGUAAA
RNAcentral lists this ribosomal RNA (255 nucleotides) under uncultured bacterium. RNAcentral's name for it is "partial 16S ribosomal RNA". It matches the Rfam family "Bacterial small subunit ribosomal RNA", at positions 164 to 429 of the family's 1533-position model. The record is from RNAcentral.